UACGCAGGCGGCUUGGUAAGACAGAUGUGAAAUCCCCGGGCUUAACCUGGGAACUGCAUUUGUGACUGCCAGGCUCGAGUCUGUCAGAGGGGGGUGGAAUUCCACGUGUAGCAGUGAAAUGCGUAGAGAUGUGGAGGAACACCGAUGGCGAAGGCAGCCCCCUGGGAUGAGACUGACGCUCAUGUACGAAAGCGUGGGGAGCAAACAGGAUUAGAUACCCUGGUAGUCCACGCCCUAAACGAUGUCGACUAGUUGUCGGGAAUUUAUUUUCUCGGUAACGCAGCUAACGCGUGAAGUCGACCGCCUGGGGAGUACGGUCGCAAGAUUAAA
This 330-nucleotide ribosomal RNA is filed under the name uncultured bacterium. RNAcentral describes it as "bacterial SSU rRNA". It matches the Rfam family "Bacterial small subunit ribosomal RNA", at positions 568 to 898 of the family's 1533-position model. The record is from RNAcentral.